GAAACCGGAGCUAAUACCGGAUAAUAUAUUGAACCGCAUGGUUCAAUAGUGAAAGACGGUUUUGCUGUCACUUAUAGGUGGAUCCGCGCCGCAUUAGCUAGUUGGUAAGGUAACGGCUUACCAAGGCAACGAUGCGUAGCCGACCUGAGAUGGUGAUCGGCCACACUGGAACUGAGACACGGUCCAG
Molecule: ribosomal RNA, 187 nt
Filed under: uncultured Staphylococcus sp.
Lineage: Bacteria; Bacillati; Bacillota; Bacilli; Caryophanales; Staphylococcaceae
Description: partial 16S ribosomal RNA
Rfam family: Bacterial small subunit ribosomal RNA
Source: RNAcentral